Molecule: ribosomal RNA, 534 nt
Filed under: Globigerinoides ruber albus
Lineage: Eukaryota; Foraminifera; Rotaliida; Globigerinidae
Description: partial small subunit ribosomal RNA
Rfam family: Eukaryotic small subunit ribosomal RNA
Source: RNAcentral
GGCUGCUUUAUGCAGUCUUGUUGAAUGGUGGAUAAACUCGGGGGACUGCUGACUAUAACCAUUUCUCAAAACAGAGGAAGGUUGCGGCAAUAACAGGUCUGUGAUGCCCUCAGAUGUCCCGGGCUGCACACGUGCUACAAUGAGUGGCGCAAUGUGCUAAUGUUUAAGGGAUAAGAGUGUGGUCAGUAGAACGUCGGGAUUUCCCCUGACGUCUCCCCCGCACGAUUAUCAGCCUUCCCUUAACAGGGCGGGCAACCUUUUCAAAAUACUGGUUUGAUGUUAAAGUAUUGAGUCGUUUUUUUUGGAUGGUGGUUUGUUAACCAAUACCAUCCGGCAACUGCUCGCGAGUUUGUGGUUCUGGCGACUCAUGGUGGGGACCGACGUUUGUAAUUUUUUGUCGCGUGUUAACUAGGAAUGCCUUGUACUGUCGAUUCACUAAGUUACUGGGAAUACGUCCCUGCCCUUUGUACACACCGCCCGUCGCUCUUACCGAUGGCUGUGUGUGUGAGUAAGAGCGACUGUUAAGAGGGAAAU